Molecule: ribosomal RNA, 454 nt
Filed under: Metschnikowia sp. (in: budding yeasts & allies)
Lineage: Eukaryota; Fungi; Ascomycota; Pichiomycetes; Serinales; Metschnikowiaceae
Description: eukaryotic LSU rRNA
Rfam family: Eukaryotic large subunit ribosomal RNA
Source: RNAcentral
UUUGAAAUCCCCCGGGAAUUGUAAUUUGAAGAGAUUUGGGUCCGGCCGGCGGGGGUUAAGUCCACUGGAAAGUGGCGCCACAGAGGGUGACAGCCCCGUGAACCCCUUUAACGCCCUCAUCCCAAAUCUCCAAGAGUCGAGUUGUUUGGGAAUGCAGCUCUAAGUGGGUGGUAAAUUCCAUCUAAAGCUAAAUACCGGCGAGAGACCGAUAGCGAACAAGUACAGUGAUGGAAAGAUGAAAAGCACUUUGAAAAGAGAGUGAAAAAGUACGUGAAAUUGUUGAAAGGGAAGGGCUUGCAAGCAGACACUUAACUGGGCCAGCAUCGGGGCGGCGGGAAGCAAAACCACCGGGGAAUGUACCUUUCGAGGAUUAUAACCCCGGCCCUUACUCCCAUACUGCCCCGAGGCCUGCAAUCUAAGGAUGCUGGCGUAAUGGUUGCAAGUCGCCCGUCUU